AGGUGUUGCAUGGCUGUCGUCAGCUCGUGUCGUGAGAUGUUCGGUUAAGUCCGCUAACGAGCGCAACCCUCGUCGUAUGUUUAUAUGUGUCAUACGAGGACUGCCGGUAAAAGCCGGAGGAAGGUGAGGAUGAUGUCGAAGUCAGCAUGACCUUUAUAUCCACGGGCUACACACACGCUACAAUGGUCUGUACAAUGGGUAGCCAAGCCGCGAGGCGGAGCCAAUCCUGAAAGCAGGCCUCAGUUCAGAUUGCAGGUCUGCAACUCGACCUGCAUGAAGCCGGAGUUGCUAGUAACCGCAGGUCAGCAAUACUGCGGUGAAUACGUUCCCGGGUCUU
RNAcentral lists this ribosomal RNA (337 nucleotides) under uncultured Anaerolineaceae bacterium. Its description in RNAcentral is "bacterial SSU rRNA". It matches the Rfam family "Bacterial small subunit ribosomal RNA", at positions 1036 to 1382 of the family's 1533-position model. The record is from RNAcentral. Lineage: Bacteria; Bacillati; Chloroflexota; Anaerolineae; Anaerolineales; Anaerolineaceae.